CUUGGAUUACCAAUUCCUAGAGUUGUCCAUAAGUUUCUGUCAUCUUGGGCCAUUGUUCCAACCCAACUUUGUCCUAAUGGAUGGAAAACUGUAAUUGCCAUAUUGAUCUUAUAGCGUAGGUUGGGCUAUCCCGAGCUCACUGUAGAUCAAUUUAAUUCGUUAUACUCUUUUAAAGAGGAUGGGAGAGACUCCAGUUGGUACUAUGCCAGCAUUAAGCCUGAUUGGUAAAGCUUCGGGAUCAAGCUACAACUAUUUUCUAGAACAUAAAAAAAAAUAAAAAGAAAAAAGAAAAAAAAAAAGCCUAGUUGGAUGAGGAGAAGAAGAGCUGGAAGGAAAGGCUAAACAAGAUGGGCAUAGAAGUUGAGGCUAAAUCAGCAUCCAAACUCAAGCUUUAGGAUGAAGUGAAAACCUUGAGGAUCUGGAGAGAGAACGCCAAUAAUAGGGCUGCAUCUGAGAAAAAGGGGACUAAAGAGAAGAGGGACAAUGCUGAUAGAGAGAAACUUCGAGUUGAUGAGGCCAUAAAAGAGGUUUAGAAGGUGAUGUUAGAGUUGCCAAAGCAUUUGAACUAUAGAUGGAAUCACCUGAAUUUGACAUCUUAGCUCAGGAUGUUUACAUUGUCAGUUUGGAGGAAACAAUUAAGCACAUCCAGGGAAUGUUGUCUGACUUCGACAUAAGUUUUCUUCAGGAAGCUUUAGAUGAGCAGAGAGCCACAUUGAAGAAGAUGUCUAUUACGGCGGAGGUCAUCAUCUCUUUCCCAAUAGAAGACAAAAACCUUGACGUGAAUGUUUAAGAUCAGCUUGACCCUCCACCCGCUUUGACUUUUCUAUUUUAAUGACUUAAGUACAUUCUAUCUAUUAAUAUUAGUGAUUAUAAUCGAAUUGGUUGAUACACAAAUUCUAGGGAAUCUUGCUUAAGGGUUGGCCAAACGUAUCCUUGCCUUAAAAUUUUAUAGGCUAAUGAUUAUCCUCAAGAAUGAUUGCCGCAAAUCCCCUCAUGAACUUCCUACAAGGUAUACAACACUUCUUUUUUAUUCAGGCAUUACGACAAAAGAAUGGCAUAUCCUCUCUUGUAAAGCACAUCGUCCAAUCAAGUGUACCUAGCUGACCUUAUUCGUAAUUUUCUAUCUUCAGUAAGAUCUACCGGGCAAGUUUCAAUUUUGAGGUAUGAGGUGAUUUCAUCUAACUAGAUGGGUUAUGAUAACCAUUCAGACUACAAUUCCUUUCUCAAUGGCGAAAUGUUAGAGUCUUCCUACUGGGAUGCUAUCAACCUUUUAUAUUCCAUUGUUCGUGGCCAACCUAACUAGGGCGUCAGUUUUUAAAAUCUUUGGACUCCUUCUUAAAUGUAGUUAUUCAUCCAUUAUUCCUUUGCUUGGUAAGUUUCAUUGAUCUAAUUGACUGUAAGUUAAGAGUCACAAACCAUGUUGGGAGUUUUCAAUUCCUUUUGUCAUCCUCACUCCAGCUAUUAAUGCUUCAUACUCAGUUUCGUUGUUGAAAGUUUUAAAGUCAAAAGUGAGAGCUUGACAAAAAUAGUGGAAAUCAAAGCUGCUAGCACUAUCACUGUGGCAUAUCCGACAUUGGUGGAUGAACCCUCAACAAAUAACUAACAUGGGGCAUUGUUGAUCUUCCCAAAGGUCAAUGUUGAACUCUGCUAU
This 1651-nucleotide long non-coding RNA is filed under the name Olea europaea subsp. europaea. The record is from RNAcentral. Lineage: Eukaryota; Viridiplantae; Streptophyta; Magnoliopsida; Lamiales; Oleaceae.